GAGAUACCUUUUAGAACAAAAGUCAAGUCAAUCGAAAAUCAGAUUAAUCAAUAGGCCAUUUCAAAUCCAUAUACCAUACUAACACAGCGGGCCAGGGGAUGAAGAGCACAUCGAGAAAAAAAAAACUCAGUUGAGGACCUAAACACAGCCUAAACAGCGCAAUGAGCUUUCAUGUGGAGUUCGUUCAGGCCCGUAUUCUGUCGGCCUAAGAAGCGCGUUUUUAGAUAGAAGUGGACUAACGCUCAACAGGUAAUACAAAAGGCUGUCUUUGAUGUUUAAAUUAUAGGUCCACGCCUACGGCCCGAUCGGGUAAACGUCUGAGAGCAGGAUGUAGAAUGACCGUCCACUUCUGGCGUGUGGACUGUACUUACAAGACACGAAGUUUGCUUUGGCUGAACAUUCUACUUGGCACACUCUUCAGAUCGUUUCCCCUCAAAUCGCUGAAAACAAGAAAGAGAAAAAGAGAAAAGAUGCGACUCCAAUCCAUCCAAUAGAGCGUGUUAGGUUCCAUCAUCGCACCAAGGCGCGAUGCAUCAUGGUUCCUACGCGCGAUGCAUCAUGGUACCUCGCAAAAUGGUUCAUGGCCCGAAGUGUAGAAAACAGCUCGUAACCUAACAGGAUUGGCUGGAUUACCUCAUUGUUCUAUUCCCGUUCUAUUGUUUUGUUUCCUAUUAUUUUGUCUGAAGGGCAUCAAUACAAUGUGCUGAAAUCU
Molecule: long non-coding RNA, 712 nt
Organism: Nematostella vectensis (starlet sea anemone)
Lineage: Eukaryota; Metazoa; Cnidaria; Anthozoa; Actiniaria; Edwardsiidae
Exons: 2
Source: RefSeq, a predicted model, not a curated record